GUCCCACGCGGCAAGGACCCACGAACCCGGUCAGGUCCGGAAGGAAGCAGCCGUAAGUGGCCAUCCUUGGGUGACGUGGGGGUGCCUGGC
RNAcentral lists this signal recognition particle RNA (90 nucleotides) under Sphaerobacter thermophilus DSM 20745. RNAcentral describes it as "SRP RNA; RNA component of signal recognition particle". The stretch from base 3 to 80 matches the Rfam family "Bacterial small signal recognition particle RNA", at positions 9 to 84 of the family's 97-position model. From Rfam's summary of the family: The signal recognition particle (SRP) is a universally conserved ribonucleoprotein involved in the co-translational targeting of proteins to membranes. Archaeal SRP consists of a 7S RNA and homologues of the eukaryotic SRP19 and SRP54 proteins. In most bacteria, the SRP consists of a 4.5S RNA and the Ffh protein (a homologue of the eukaryotic SRP54 protein). The record is from RNAcentral. Lineage: Bacteria; Pseudomonadati; Thermomicrobiota; Thermomicrobia; Sphaerobacterales; Sphaerobacteraceae.